This 69-nucleotide transfer RNA is filed under the name Pentatoma semiannulata. RNAcentral's name for it is "tRNA-Ser". It matches the Rfam family "tRNA". From Rfam's summary of the family: Transfer RNA (tRNA) molecules are approximately 80 nucleotides in length. Lineage: Eukaryota; Metazoa; Arthropoda; Insecta; Hemiptera; Pentatomidae. The record is from RNAcentral.
AGUUAAUAAGUCAUAGAUAGACAUAUAUUUUGAAAAUAUAAAAAGAAAGUUAAAUUCUUUCAUUAACUU